GUACUUUCAGCAGUGAGGAAGUGGGUAUGUUAAUAGCAUACUCAUUUGACGUUAGCUGCAGAAGAAGCACCGGCUAACUCCGUGCCAGCAGCCGCGGUAAUACGGAGGGUGCGAGCGUUAAUCGGAAGUUACUGGGCGUAAAGCGCAUGCAGGUGGUUUGUUAAGUCAGAUGUGAAAGCCCGGGGCUCAACCUCGGAAUUGCAUUUGAAACUGGCAAACUAGAGUACUGUAGAGGGGGUAGAAUUUCAGGUGUAGCGGUGAAAAUGCGUAGAGAUCUGAAGGAAUACCGGUGGCGAAGGCGGCCCCCUGGACAGAUACUGACACUCAGAUGCGAAAGCGUGGGGAGCAAACAGGAUUAGAUACCCUGGUAG
RNAcentral lists this ribosomal RNA (371 nucleotides) under uncultured bacterium. RNAcentral describes it as "bacterial SSU rRNA". It matches the Rfam family "Bacterial small subunit ribosomal RNA", at positions 430 to 793 of the family's 1533-position model. The record is from RNAcentral.